Molecule: ribosomal RNA, 254 nt
Filed under: uncultured bacterium
Lineage: Bacteria
Description: partial 16S ribosomal RNA
Rfam family: Bacterial small subunit ribosomal RNA
Source: RNAcentral
CGGAGGGUGCAAGCGUUGUCCGGAUUUAUUGGGUUUAAAGGGUGCGUAGGCGGCUCUUUAAGUCAGUGGUGAAAGACCCCGGCUCAACCGGGGCAGUGCCAUUGAUACUGGGGAGCUUGAGUGUUGGAGGGGUACAUGGAAUUGAUGGUGUAGCGGUGAAAUGCAUAGAUACCAUCAGGAACACCGAUAGCGAAGGCAUUGUACUGGCCAACAACUGACGCUGAGGCACGAAAGCAUGGGUAGCGAACAGGAUU